Molecule: ribosomal RNA, 464 nt
Filed under: uncultured bacterium
Lineage: Bacteria
Description: partial 16S ribosomal RNA
Rfam family: Bacterial small subunit ribosomal RNA
Source: RNAcentral
CUACGGGAGGCUCCAGUGAGGAAUUUUGCGCAAUGGGGGAAACCCUAACACAACAACGCCGCGUGAGCGAAGAAAACCUUCGGGUCGUAAAGCUCUGUCAAGUGGGAAAAAAAUUCUUUGAUGAACAGUCAAAGGACUUGAUGGUACCACUGGAGGAAGCACCGGCUAACUCCGUGCCAGCAGCCGCGGUAAUACGGAGGGUGCAAGCGUUGUUCGGAAUUACUGGGCGUAAAGAGCGUGUAGGCGGUUUGACAAGUCAGAUGUGAAAGCCCCGGGCUCAACCCGGGAAGUGCAUUUGAAACUGGUUCACUAGAGUAUGGGAGAGGAGAUUGGAAUUCCUGGUGUAGAGGUGAAAUUCGUAGAUAUCAGGAGGAACACCCGUGGCGAAGGCGAUUCUCUGGACCAAUACUGACGCUGAGACGCGAAAGCGUGGGGAGCAAACAGGAUUAGAUACCCUAGUAGUC